RNAcentral lists this ribosomal RNA (429 nucleotides) under Benthodytes sp. n. CY-2021. RNAcentral's name for it is "partial large subunit ribosomal RNA". It matches the Rfam family "Bacterial large subunit ribosomal RNA", at positions 1926 to 2559 of the family's 2925-position model. The record is from RNAcentral. Lineage: Eukaryota; Metazoa; Echinodermata; Holothuroidea; Elasipodida; Psychropotidae.
AACGGCCGCGGUAUCUUAACCGUGCUAAGGUAGCAUAAUAAUUUGUUUUUUAAAUGAAAACUAGUAUGAAUGGCCCUUCAUUUUCUAACUGUCUCUCUAUAUCCUCUCUUAAAUUUCUACCCCCGUGAAGAAGCGGGGAUUCCUCAGUAAGACGAAAAGACCCUGUCGAGCUUCAGCUAAUGAGUGGUACUGUUUAAACUUUUAUUUGUUUGUGUGACCCUUUUAAGCUUUGGUUGGGGCAACCAUGGAGUAAUUUUACCCUCCAGUUAAAAAGAAGAAUUUUAUUCUCUUUAUUAUUUAAUGAACCAAACUAUUUUGGUAAUCAGAAAAAGUUACCGCAGGGAUAACAGCGUAAUCUUCUUUGAGAGCCCUUAUUGACAAGAAGGUUUGCGACCUCGAUGUUGGAUUGGGGCAACCAAAAAGUGCAGC